UCUUCUUCAGAAAGGCGAAGCUCAAUGAUACGUUUCCAUGCAUGAGCCGCUUUCCUCAAAGUGUUUUUAAACAAUUCCUUCCUGCUUAGCAUUGCUCUGUUAUCCUUUCGGAAAACCGGAUCGCUGGCGACGAGACGAGCCAUGCGAUCAGAGACAUCGAAGGUGUGGCGGGAACCAGCCCAGACGAUCUUCAUCUCGUCGACAUCGAACUGAGCCCUGUUCCUCUCGGGAGCCAAGUGAUCGACGCCCUCCAUUGUCAGUCAACGGAAUCCAACAACCCUUGAUAUUGUAGCUGAAAAGAUUG
Molecule: unclassified non-coding RNA, 304 nt
Filed under: Hevea brasiliensis (rubber tree)
Lineage: Eukaryota; Viridiplantae; Streptophyta; Magnoliopsida; Malpighiales; Euphorbiaceae
Source: RNAcentral